UGUGAGCUCGAUGAGUAGGGCGGGACACGUGGUAUCCUGUCUGAAUAUGGGGGGACCAUCCUCCAAGGCUAAAUACUCCUGACUGACCGAUAGUGAACCAGUACCGUGAGGGAAAGGCGAAAAGAACCCCGGCGAGGGGAGUGAAAAAGAACCUGAAACCGUGUACGUACAAGCAGUGGGAGCACGCUUAGGCGUGUGACUGCGUACCUUUUGUAUAAUGGGUCAGCGACUUAUAUUCUGUAGCAAGGUUAACCGAAUAGGGGAGCCGAAGGGAAACCGAGUCUUAACUGGGCGUUAAGUUGCAGGGUAUAGACCCGAAACCCGGUGAUCUAGCCAUGGGCAGGUUGAAGGUUGGGUAACACUAACUGGAGGACCGAACCGACUAAUGUUGAAAAAUUAGCGGAUGACUUGUGGCUGGGGGUGAAAGGCCAAUCAAACCGGGAGAUAGCUGGUUCUCCCCGAAAGCUAUUUAGGUAGCGCCUCGUGAAUUCAUCUCCGGGGGUAGAGCACUGUUUCGGCAAGGGGGUCAUCCCGACUUACCAACCCGAUGCAAACUGCGAAUACCGGAGAAUGUUAUCACGGGAGACACACGGCGGGUGCUAACGUCCGUCGUGAAGAGGGAAACAACCCAGACCGCCAGCUAAGGUCCCAAAGUCAUGGUUAAGUGGGAAACGAUGUGGGAAGGCCCAGACAGCCAGGAUGUUGGCUUAGAAGCAGCCAUCAUUUAAAGAAAGCGUAAUAGCUCACUGGUCGAGUCGGCCUGCGCGGAAGAUGUAACGGGGCUAAACCAUGCACCGAAGCUGCGGCAGCGACACUAUGUGUUGUUGGGUAGGGGAGCGUUCUGUAAGCCUGUGAAGGUGUACUGUGAGGUAUGCUGGAGGUAUCAGAAGUGCGAAUGCUGACAUAAGUAACGAUAAAGCGGGUGAAAAGCCCGCUCGCCGGAAGACCAAGGGUUCCUGUCCAACGUUAAUCGGGGCAGGGUGAGUCGACCCCUAAGGCGAGGCCGAAAGGCGUAGUCGAUGGGAAACAGGUUAAUAUUCCUGUACUUGGUGUUACUGCGAAGGGGGGACGGAGAAGGCUAUGUUGGCCGGGCGACGGUUGUCCCGGUUUAAGCGUGUAGGCUGGUUUUCCAGGCAAAUCCGGAAAAUCAAGGCUGAGGCGUGAUGACGAGGCACUACGGUGCUGAAGCAACAAAUGCCCUGCUUCCAGGAAAAGCCUCUAAGCAUCAGGUAACAUCAAAUCGUACCCCAAACCGACACAGGUGGUCAGGUAGAGAAUACCAAGGCGCUUGAGAGAACUCGGGUGAAGGAACUAGGCAAAAUGGUGCCGUAACUUCGGGAGAAGGCACGCUGAUAUGUAGGUGAAGCGACUUGCUCGUGGAGCUGAAAUCAGUCGAAGAUACCAGCUGGCUGCAACUGUUUAUUAAAAACACAGCACUGUGCAAACACGAAAGUGGACGUAUACGGUGUGACGCCUGCCCGGUGCCGGAAGGUUAAUUGAUGGGGUCAGCGCAAGCGAAGCUCUUGAUCGAAGCCCCGGUAAACGGCGGCCGUAACUAUAACGGUCCUAAGGUAGCGAAAUUCCUUGUCGGGUAAGUUCCGACCUGCACGAAUGGCGUAAUGAUGGCCAGGCUGUCUCCACCCGAGACUCAGUGAAAUUGAACUCGCUGUGAAGAUGCAGUGUACCCGCGGCAAGACGGAAAGACCCCGUGAACCUUUACUAUAGCUUGACACUGAACAUUGAGCCUUGAUGUGUAGGAUAGGUGGGAGGCUUUGAAGUGUGGACGCCAGUCUGCAUGGAGCCGACCUUGAAAUACCACCCUUUAAUGUUUGAUGUUCUAACGUGGACCCGUGAUCCGGGUUGCGGACAGUGUCUGGUGGGUAGUUUGACUGGGGCGGUCUCCUCCUAAAGAGUAACGGAGGAGCACGAAGGUUGGCUAAUCCUGGUCGGACAUCAGGAGGUUAGUGCAAUGGCAUAAGCCAGCUUGACUGCGAGCGUGACGGCGCGAGCAGGUGCGAAAGCAGGUCAUAGUGAUCCGGUGGUUCUGAAUGGAAGGGCCAUCGCUCAACGGAUAAAAGGUACUCCGGGGAUAACAGGCUGAUACCGCCCAAGAGUUCAUAUCGACGGCGGUGUUUGGCACCUCGAUGUCGGCUCAUCACAUCCUGGGGCUGAAGUAGGUCCCAAGGGUAUGGCUGUUCGCCAUUUAAAGUGGUACGCGAGCUGGGUUUAGAACGUCGUGAGACAGUUCGGUCCCUAUCUGCCGUGGGCGCUGGAGAACUGAGGGGGGCUGCUCCUAGUACGAGAGGACCGGAGUGGACGCAUCACUGGUGUUCGGGUUGUCAUGCCAAUGGCACUGCCCGGUAGCUAAAUGCGGAAGAGAUAAGUGCUGAAAGCAUCUAAGCACGAAACUUGCCCCGAGAUGAGUUCUCCCUGAC
This 2435-nucleotide ribosomal RNA is filed under the name Escherichia coli. Its description in RNAcentral is "partial 23S ribosomal RNA". It matches the Rfam family "Bacterial large subunit ribosomal RNA", at positions 398 to 2819 of the family's 2925-position model. Lineage: Bacteria; Pseudomonadati; Pseudomonadota; Gammaproteobacteria; Enterobacterales; Enterobacteriaceae. The record is from RNAcentral.